AUUCCAGCUGAUCCUACUGGCGGGAACCGCUAUCGAAAUCCGGCUCAAGACAUGCAAGUCGAAAGUGCCAGGAAUGGUGCUUGGCGAACGGCUCAGUAACACGUAACUAACCUACCCUUAAGAACAACCAAUCCCGGGAAACUGGGUUUAAUGUUGUGUAGAUAAGCUAUACUGGAAAUGUUUGUUUAUCAAGAGGACAGUACUAUUCCGUACAUGGUCGCUUAAGGAUGGGGUUGCGGCGCAUUAGGUCGUUGGCGGGGUAAAUGCCCACCAAGCCAGUGAUGCGUACGGGCCCUGAAAGGGGUAGCCCGGAGAAGGGAACUGAGACAAGGUCCCUAGCCCUACGGGGUGCAGCAGUCGCGGAACCUUUACACUGCACGAAAGUGUGAUAGGGGGAUUUCGAGUGCUUCCAUUGGAAGCUUUUGCCAAACCUAAAUCGUUUGGCGAAUAAAGGGGGGGUAAUAUACGUGCCAGCCGCCGCGGUAAUACGUAAUCCCUAAGUGGUUCCCACUUGUAUUGGGCCUAAAACGCCUGUAGCCUGUGAGUUAAGUCUUUGGUGAAAUCGGACAGCUCAACUGUUCGAAUGGCUAAAGAUACUGGCUUGCUUGAGGAAAUAAGACGUGAAGAGAAUUUUUGGGGUAACGGUGAAAUGUUAUGAUCCCAAAAGGACUACCAGUAGCGAAGGCGCUUCACGAGGAUUAUCCUGACGGUGAGAGACGAAAGCUGGGGGAGCGACCAGGAUUAGAUACCCUGUUAGUCCCAGCUGUAAACGAUGCUAACUAGGUGUUCCUCUUCCCACGUGGAAGCGGAGUGCCGAAGCGAAGGCGUUAAGUUAGCUGCCUGGGGAGUACGCCCGCAAGGGUGAAACUUAAUGGAAUUGGCGGGGGCUCACUACAAGGGGUGGAUGUUGCGGUUUAAUUGGAUGCAACGCCAGAAAAUCUUACCAGGGAAGACAGCAGUGUGAUGAACAGUCUGAAGGGCUUUUUUGACGCGCUGAGAGGUCCUGUAUGGCCACCGCCAGCUCGUACCGUGAGGCAUCCUGUUAACUCAGGCAACGGGCGAGACCCAUGCUCAUAGUUGCGACUCUUGCUUUUGCGAGGGGCACUCUAUGAGGACUGCUGCAGUAAUGCUGAGGAAGGUAUGGUCAACGGUAGGUCUGUAUGAGCCGAAUUUCCUGGGCAACACGCGCCACACAAUGGUGAAGACAAUGGGUCGCUUACCCGAAAGGGGUCGCUAAUCUCUUAAACUUCACCUCAGUUCGGAUUGAGGGCUGUAACCCGCCCUCAUGAAGUUGGAAUCCCCAGUAAUCGCGUGUCAUUAACGCGCGGUGAAUAAGUCCCUGAGCCUUGCACACACCGCCCAUCAAGCCAGCCGAGUAAAGUUCGGAUGAAUACACUUCUGAGUGAAAUGUCUGAUUCUUAGCUUUGCGAGGGGGGCUAAGUUGUAACAAGGUGUCCGUAGGGGAACCUGCGGACGGAUCACCUCCUA
Molecule: ribosomal RNA, 1488 nt
Filed under: Candidatus Iainarchaeum sp.
Lineage: Archaea; Nanobdellati; Candidatus Iainarchaeota; Candidatus Iainarchaeia; Candidatus Iainarchaeales; Candidatus Iainarchaeaceae
Description: 16S ribosomal RNA
Rfam family: Archaeal small subunit ribosomal RNA
Source: RNAcentral